This 76-nucleotide transfer RNA is filed under the name Actinomycetota bacterium. RNAcentral describes it as "Actinobacteria bacterium tRNA-Lys". It matches the Rfam family "tRNA". Rfam says of the family: Transfer RNA (tRNA) molecules are approximately 80 nucleotides in length. Their secondary structure includes four short double-helical elements and three loops (D, anti-codon, and T loops). Further hydrogen bonds mediate the characteristic L-shaped molecular structure. tRNAs have two regions of fundamental functional importance: the anti-codon, which is responsible for specific mRNA codon recognition, and the 3' end, to which the tRNAs corresponding amino acid is attached (by aminoacyl-tRNA synthetases). tRNAs cope with the degeneracy of the genetic code in two manners: having more than one tRNA (with a specific anti-codon) for a particular amino acid; and 'wobble' base-pairing, i.e. permitting non-standard base-pairing at the 3rd anti-codon position. Lineage: Bacteria; Bacillati; Actinomycetota. The record is from RNAcentral.
GGGUCGUUAGCUCAGCUGGCAGAGCACCUGACUCUUAAUCAGGGGGCCGCAGGUUCGAUCCCUGCACGACCCACCA